GGAAGGUAUAGCUCAGUGGUAGAGUGUGUGCUUAGCAUGCACAAGGUCCUGGGUUCAAUCCCCAGUGCCUCCA
RNAcentral lists this transfer RNA (73 nucleotides) under Vicugna pacos (alpaca). RNAcentral describes it as "tRNA-Ala (AGC) (tRNA-Ala-AGC-305-1)". It matches the Rfam family "tRNA". From Rfam's summary of the family: Transfer RNA (tRNA) molecules are approximately 80 nucleotides in length. Their secondary structure includes four short double-helical elements and three loops (D, anti-codon, and T loops). Lineage: Eukaryota; Metazoa; Chordata; Mammalia; Artiodactyla; Camelidae. The record is from RNAcentral.